RNAcentral lists this ribosomal RNA (432 nucleotides) under uncultured bacterium. RNAcentral describes it as "bacterial SSU rRNA". It matches the Rfam family "Bacterial small subunit ribosomal RNA", at positions 855 to 1290 of the family's 1533-position model. The record is from RNAcentral.
ACGCAAUAAGCACUCCGCCUGGGGAGUACGGUCGCAAGACUAAAACUCAAAGGAAUUGACGGGGGCCCGCACAAGCAGCGGAGCAUGUGGUUUAAUUCGAAGCAACGCGAAGAACCUUACCAGGGCUUGACAUCGUCUGAAUAUCUUAGAGAUAAGAGAAACCCUUCGGGGCAGAUAGACAGGUGGUGCAUGGUUGUCGUCAGCUCGUGUCGUGAGAUGUUGGGUUAAGUCCCGCAACGAGCGCAACCCUUGUCAUUAGUUGCUAACAGUAAGAUGAGCACUCUAAUGAGACUGCCGGGGACAACUCGGAGGAAGGUGGGGAUGACGUCAAAUCAUCAUGCCCCUUAUGUCCUGGGCUACACACGUGCUACAAUGGCUAGAACAAUGAGAUGCAAGAUGGUGACAUGGAGCAAAUCUAUAAAACUAGUCCCA